Molecule: ribosomal RNA, 321 nt
Filed under: Gibsmithia hawaiiensis
Lineage: Eukaryota; Rhodophyta; Florideophyceae; Gigartinales; Dumontiaceae
Description: bacterial LSU rRNA
Rfam family: Bacterial large subunit ribosomal RNA
Source: RNAcentral
CUUUACUGUAGCUUGGAAUUGAGUUUGAGUUUAUUUUGCGCAGUAUAGGUGGGAGGCUAAGAUAAUAAGCUUGAGGGUUUAUUGGAGCCAAUAGUGAGAUACCACUCUAAGUAAACUAGAAUUCUAACCUUGAUAGUCGUUAGCCGGCCAAGGAACAGUUUCAGGUGGGCAGUUUGACUGGGGCGGUCGCCUCCUAAAAGGUAACGGAGGCGUGCAAAGGUUCCUUCAGGCUGGUCGGAAAUCAGUCGUAGAGUAUAAAGGCAUAAGGGAGCUUGACUGCAAGACCUACAAGUCGAGCAGAGACGAAAGUCGGCCUUAGUG